Molecule: long non-coding RNA, 1916 nt
Filed under: Salmo salar (Atlantic salmon)
Lineage: Eukaryota; Metazoa; Chordata; Actinopteri; Salmoniformes; Salmonidae
Description: lncRNA (ENSSSAG00000093756.1)
Source: RNAcentral
UCUGGGUAACAAAUGUCCUUUAAUGUGUCUGUAUGCGUGCACAUGUGCGUGUGUGUGCUUGUGUCCCCAUCUCUGGGACUGACAGCGAGGGACAGUCAGUCGGUCGGUCGAGAGGAUUACACCUUUCAUCCUUUCACACACAGCUGCAAUCUCUGCUGAGUCAUCUGCCUACGUUACCAUGGUAACGGCUGGUAGUACUGUAGCAUGGGGGCGUCCAUCUGUCUGUACUGCGAGAGUACCGGCUGGGAAUUAAAUUCACUACCGAGCAGCUCCGGGAGGCAGGACGCUGCAUGGAUGAUGAAACUGGAGCAGGACCAAGUCACGACUUCUUUGCGAGGAAAGAUGGGACACAGAGCAAUGCGGAUUGUGUUUGAGCCUCAUGACAUUCAAUUAAACAGCUGUCUCUGGUAGGGAGAAAAACAUCAUGCUUGAUGUUACCAGAUAGACAGGGUAUACAGUAGGUAGAGGUAGGUGUAGAGGUAGGUGUAGAGGUAGGGGUAGAGGUAGGGUUACGGGUAGACAUAGAGGUAGGGGUAGGGGUAGAGGUAGGAGUAAAGGAAGGGGUAGAGGUAGGGUUAUGGGUAGAGAUAGAGGUAGGAGUAGAGGUAGCGGUAGAGGUAGGAGAAGAGGUAGAGAUAGAGGUAGAGGUAGGGUUAUGGGUAGAGGUAAGGUUAUGAGUGGAGGUAGAGGUAGGAGUAGAGGUAGGAGUAGAGGUAGGGGUAGGAGUAUACAUAGAGGUAGGGAUAGCAGUGGGGUAGAGGUAGAGAUAGGUGUAGGGGAAAAAGGUAAAGGUAUAAAUGGAAGUAGGGGUAGAGGUAGGGGGAGAGGUAUACAUAGAUGUAGAUAUAGCAGUGGGGUAGAGGUAGCGAUAGGUGUAGGGGUAAAGGUAUAAAUGGAGGAAGGGGUAGAGGUAGAGAUCAAGGUAGAGUUAGGGGUAGAGGUAGGGGUAAAGGUAUAAAUGGAGGUGGGGUAGAGGUAGGGAAGGAGUAGAGGUAGAAGUAGAUGUAGGGGUAGAGGUGAGGGUAUAGGUAGGGCUGAAGGUAGGGGUAGAGGUAGAGGUAGAGGUAGGGGUAGAGGUAGAGGUAUGUGCAGGGUUAGAUGUAGGAGUAGAGGUAUAAAUAGAGGUAGGGUUAGAGGUAGGGGCAGAGGCAUGGGUAGAGUUAGAUGUAAGGGUAGGGGUAGGCGUGAUUGUAGGGGUAGAGAUAGGGUAGAGGUAGAAGUAGGGUUUGAGGUGGGGGUAGAGGUAGGGGUAGGUAGAGGUAUAAAUAUAUGUAGGGAUAGAGGUAUGAUUAGAGGUAUAAAUAGAGGUAGGGUUAGAGGUAGGAUUAGAGAUAUAAAUAGAGGUAGGGUUAGAGGUAUAAAUAGAGGUAUAAAUAGAGGUAGGGAUAGAGGUAGGGAUAGAGGUAUGGGCAGAGGUAUGUGUAGAGUUAGAGGUAGAUGUAAGGGUAGAGGUAGAGGUAGGGGUGGGGGUAGGGGUAAAGGUAGGGGUAUAGUAUGAGAGAAACACUAUGUUCCAUUCCAUCAAAAGCAGUGUCUACUUCCUAAUCAGUGACGUAAUCAAAAUAAUUUGAAGACACAGUCCUGUCUUAGUUUGAUGAUUGUAGCUACCACUUACAGUAUAUACGUACAUGAAGCAAGAACAUGACUUGUGUCUUCAAAUUCAACCUGAUCAACGAAGGAUGAAGAACUAGGCCGGAGGCUGGUGGUGGGUCUGGUAGGCAUGAAUAACUUGAACCCACUGAUCCAGACAGCUGAGAAAACGCAACAGUGGCCAGAAUGGCCCCUGUGACCCCCACAGAGGACACAUACCUCAGACCACCCAGAGACACACACACACACACACACACACACACACACACACACACACACACACACACGUUACUCAGAAAGCCUCCAGGAUCCCUGGAAAAUGUAAA